CUGCUGCCUCCCGUAGGAGUUUGGACCGUGUCUCAGUUCCAAUGUGGGGGACCUUCCUCUCAGAACCCCUACGCAUCGUCGGCUUGGUGGGCCGUUGCCCCACCAACUACCUAAUGCGCCGCAUGCCCAUCCGUGACCGGAGUCGCCCCCUUUGGCCGGAAAGGGAUGUCCCUUCCCGGCGUCAUGCUGUAUUAGGCGGGAUUUCUCCCGGUUAUCCAUCUGUCACGGCCAGGUUGCAUACGUGUUACUCACCCGUGCGCCGGUCGCCGG
Molecule: ribosomal RNA, 270 nt
Filed under: uncultured bacterium
Lineage: Bacteria
Description: partial 16S ribosomal RNA
Source: RNAcentral